This 70-nucleotide transfer RNA is filed under the name Microcosmus sulcatus. RNAcentral's name for it is "transfer RNA-Ser (UCN)". Lineage: Eukaryota; Metazoa; Chordata; Ascidiacea; Stolidobranchia; Pyuridae. The record is from RNAcentral.
AAGGUGUUAGUUAAUUUAUAUUAUAAUAAAUAGUUUGAAACUAUUAGUAAGUCUUAGGGGCUAUACUUUA